UGGGGAAUUUUGGACAAUGGGCGCAAGCCUGAUCCAGCCAUUCCGCGUGCAGGAUGAAGGCCUUCGGGUUGUAAACUGCUUUUGUACGGAACGAAAAGGUGGCCUCUAAUACAGGUUGCUGAUGACGGUACCGUAAGAAUAAGCACCGGCUAACUACGUGCCAGCAGCCGCGGUAAUACGUAGGGUGCAAGCGUUAAUCGGAAUUACUGGGCGUAAAGCGUGCGCAGGCGGUUUUGUAAGACAGAGGUGAAAUCCCCGGGCUCAACCUGGGAACGGCCUUUGUGACUGCAAGGCUAGAGUGCGGCAGAGGGGGAUGGAAUUCCGCGUGUAGCAGUGAAAUGCGUAGAUAUGCGGAGGAACACCGAUGGCGAAGGCAAUCCCCUGGGCCUGCACUGACGCU
This 400-nucleotide ribosomal RNA is filed under the name uncultured bacterium. RNAcentral's name for it is "bacterial SSU rRNA". It matches the Rfam family "Bacterial small subunit ribosomal RNA", at positions 355 to 747 of the family's 1533-position model. The record is from RNAcentral.